This is a long non-coding RNA of Drosophila gunungcola (fruit fly), 1833 nucleotides long. RefSeq lists it as uncharacterized. The transcript has 3 exons. The record is from RefSeq and is a predicted model, not a curated record. NCBI's taxonomy places the organism in Eukaryota, Metazoa, Arthropoda, Insecta, Diptera, Drosophilidae.
AAAAUACAAGUUAACACCGGCUAGCGCCCCCUUCCCUUCACCCCCUCUCGACAUCCACGAUACCCGACGACGACCCUUCUCAUUCAACCCCUCGGCCACCCACAUCGUACACAUUCAAGUCGAGUGGCCACACAGCGACAACAUUACGCUCAAGUGGUCACAUGAAGACGACACCAACUCAAGUGGCUGCAAUGACCCGGCCGCUGGGCCACAAGAGCUACAGCGGCAGCACCAGCAAUAGCGACAGCAGCAGCACCAGCAAUAGCGACGGCGGCAGCAGCAGCUAAACAGCGGCAGAGAUGCAACAGCAGCGAUGCAGCUGCAGCGACGCGACGAUGGAGACAGAACGACAGCGGCAGCGCGAGAACGACAGCGGCAGCGCCAGAACGUCAGCGGCAGAAGAGCAACGGCAGCAACAAGCAAGCGAAAGACUGUUGACCGCCCGCUAGCUGCCUCAGCUCAACAGCCGCCGCCCCUACCACUGCGCUAGAUAAAAUGCAGCGCUCACAUCCGGACCAACCAAAACCGCUGCCGUCGGCUACGGUACUUCCGCGUCUGCCAACGGCAUGCUGACGCCGGAGGACCGGAGUUGGUUAAGAGGCCAACCCACUAGUAUUUAAGAGCUCACUUCUGUAACCACCGCAGUACAGUGUGGACCUAAUAUUAGACUAUCACAAUAAAAUUAUAACGUAAUCCGAAGAUAAAGUUGUUGCCUUUUUUGAGAACUACAAACACAAGUGAGCAAGAUGCUGCUGAUGAACACCACCAUAAGAACUCUGUAAGAACACCACAAGACUACAAGAAAACGGCAAAAAAAACACACACAAGUUGGGAAAAAACCACAGAAUCUUUGCGAAGCAAGAAAGAAACCAACGGAAAUAAUUAUAACAGUAUCCAUCAUAAUAGCAAUCUACCUUGUUUGGAGGAAGAUAACAUCAACCAAAGGGAUCCCAAGGCUGCGAGACCCCACCUGCGAACCUCGAACCGACAAAGGCUUAAGGAUCUGUGGGACACAGAUCUUGUGGUGGGGAGGAGUUAACACCGGCUAGCGCCCCCUUCCCUUCACCCCCUCUCGACAUCCACGAUACCCGACGACGACCCUUCUCAUUCAACCCCUCGGCCACCCACAUCGUACACAUUCAAGUCGAGUGGCCACACAGCGACAACAUUACGCUCAAGUGGUCACAUGAAGACGACACCAACUCAAGUGGCUGCAAUGACCCGGCCGCUGGGCCACAAGAGCUACAGCGGCAGCACCAGCAAUAGCGACAGCAGCAGCACCAGCAAUAGCGACGGCGGCAGCAGCAGCUAAACAGCGGCAGAGAUGCAACAGCAGCGAUGCAGCUGCAGCGACGCGACGAUGGAGACAGAACGACAGCGGCAGCGCGAGAACGACAGCGGCAGCGCCAGAACGUCAGCGGCAGAAGAGCAACGGCAGCAACAAGCAAGCGAAAGACUGUUGACCGCCCGCUAGCUGCCUCAGCUCAACAGCCGCCGCCCCUACCACUGCGCUAGAUAAAAUGCAGCGCUCACAUCCGGACCAACCAAAACCGCUGCCGUCGGCUGCGGUACUUCCGCGUCUGCCAACGGCAUGCUGACGCCGGAGGACCGGAGUUGGUUAAGAGGCCAACCCACUAGUAUUUAAGAGCUCACUUCUGCAACCACCACAGUACAGUGUGGACCUAAUAUUAGACUAUCACAAUAAAAUUAUAACGUAAUCCGAAGAUAAAGUUGUUGCCUUUUUUGAGAACUACAAACACAAGUGAGCAAGAUGCUGCUGAUGAACACCACCAUAAGGUAAUAUAGGGGAGCUUCGCACCCCCCCGGCCAUGA